This 3571-nucleotide long non-coding RNA is filed under the name Marmota monax (woodchuck). The record is from RNAcentral. Lineage: Eukaryota; Metazoa; Chordata; Mammalia; Rodentia; Sciuridae.
UUUCUCCCUUCUUUCCUACUCUGUGUCUAAAUACUCCUUACUUUUAGGUUCUGAACUUUACCUUCCAAACCAAAUCCUGAUGUGUGCAUCUCUUUUGUGCAGGAGAAUGUAAUUCGUGAAUUUAACUUGAAUGAACUGUAUCAACGGGCUAAGAAGAUAUCAAAGACUGGAGACAGUAUCCCGGAGGAGCAGAGUGUGGCCCCAGUCCCCACCACAGUGCCAGAUGGGGAAAGCAAGAAGGAUAAAUAAGAUUCCUGCCUAGUUUUUGCUCCCUCUUCUGUCAAUUCCAGGCACCUUUGAGGCCCUACUCCAGUGUAACCAUAAGCUCUGCCUGAGGCUGCUGCCUCUUGUUUUCCCUGUUUGGCUGUUGCAGGGUAGGCAGGAUGCUGCUUCUGAUUUUAAAGAAGCAGGCAUAGAAUUGUCAGGUACCCUAGAGGAAGGCCUGCCUUGCUGUGGCCAACUGUUUACUUAAGGGAGAGAUCUCAUAUGAUGGGGGAGGAAAUGGUUUCCCUCCAAGGUUGGGUCAGUGUGUAAACUGCUGUUCUUCCUUAGACAUCAGCAGUCUGUGGUUUCCUUAUUCCUCUUAGUGGCUCUGCACAGCCUAGACUAGAUCAAACCUGUUACUUGCCUGGGUAUAGAACACUAAGAAUUUUUCCUCAAGGACCCUUGCUUUCCUUAGGCCCUUCUGGCUUGGUCUAUGGCAUUCAUUAAAAAAUACAAGCCUAAAUUUGUUACUGGUCCCAAGGAGAAACCUUUUACCACAGAGUUUUCAUCAUUGAAAAUAGUAUUGAAUGAUCCUCCUAUUUUGUAGGGAUCCAGAGGAAAAGGAAUAAAAGCUUGAGACUUUCCUUUGUGUGUUGGGACCUGGAGGAGAAAGCCUGGACUGUCCUUUUCUCCUACCUAGUCCCCACACCUAACCAACAGUUUCCAUAAUAAAAGAGACUGGGAUUUCUUUUGAUUAAUCUUUUGUGUAUUUCUCUUGUGUUAGAAAAGCUAGGCAGGGCUAGGACAGUGGAUCAGUGGGAGUUUACCUAGCAUGCUUGAGGCCCUGAGUGGGAUCCCCAGCACCACCAAAAACCAGACAGUCUUCAAAGAAAAGCUAAGUAACUGCAAAGGAAUAGCCCAUCUUUUAAUUUUUUUUUUUUUUUUUUUAAAUUAUCAGUACUGGGGAUUGAACCCCUGGGUCCAUUACCAUUCAGCUAUAUCCCCAGUCCUAUAUUUUUAUUUUGAGACAGGGUCUGAGUUGCCCAGAUUGGCCUUGAAUUUUCGAUCCUGAUCCUCCUCCUUCCACUUCCCAAGUAAUGGAUUACAGGUGAAUGCCACCAUGCUGGACAAGACCACGUAAUAUGAAAGGGCAUAUUUUGUUUCACCAAAUGCUGGGCAUCAAUUCCCAGGAUUGAUGAUGAUUGGGGAAGACCGAUUUCUGUAAUCCAAAGUGCUAACCAGAGGGGAUGCUUUGUGAACUUAAUUUUGGAUUGGUCCGUGCCUCCCAGGGAGGAAUUUGGGGAGCAUCAUAAAGCAUAGCAUUUAGUGCAGCGCAUAGGUACCUAACCUCUUGCUUCCAGACUUGAGUCCCCACCUCCUGGCAUGCCGGCCUCACCUCGUCCUUUCCACCCAUAGUCUUAAUGGUAGGGCCUGGUUCUCGCAGUACCUCCCCCUUCUGGUAGGCGGAGUGGCUGGGCUCGAAGGUCCCGCCUCCCCGCCACAUGCGCGCUGCGGGCCCCGUUUUCCACUCUCGCGGGGAGUUUUUGUUUCGUGAGCGGAAGUUCUGGGUUAAACCUGGUGAUUCGAAGUCUGACUGCCCUCCUGCCUGGUGCUAUCUCAGUCGUAGCAUCUUCACUGUAUUCUCCCUUCCGCCCCAGCAUCCCCAGUCGGCUCGGCGCGCGGCCGGAUUCCAGGCGUCAUGGCUCCUCGCUGGAGGAAGCGGAAGGCCGAGGCCGCUGCGGUCUCCACGUCGGAGAAGCGGGAGAAACUGGAGAACGGCAAGGAACAAGUAGAGGAGGCGGUCGUCAUUGAGCAUUGGUGAGCGCCCUGGGAGGCGCGGGCGGCGGCGGGAAGAAUGGCUGGCGUUGCAGCGGGGCCGCAGUCUGAUCUCCCCGUCUCUCCCUAGCACUAGCUGACGCGUCUACGGGCGCAACGCCGCGGCCCUGAGCCAGGCGCUGCGCCUGGAGGCUCCGGAGCUUCCCGUGAAAGUAAAUCCUUCCAAGCCCCGGAGGGGCAGCUUCGAGGUGACCCUGCUGCGCCAGGACGGCAGCAGUGAGUGCGGGCCGGAGCCUGGGGGGAGAGGGGCCUGGGUCUAAAGCUAAGAAGCACUAGUUUUGGAAACCGCGGCCAGCUGUUGACUUUAGAGAUGCUCUUGGAUUCCAAAGUAAUUUCGAUUUAUUCCCAGGUGCCGAGCUCUGGACCGGGAUUAAGAAGGGACCCCCACGCAAACUCAAAUUCCCCGAACCUCAAGAAGUGGUGGAAGAGUUGAAGAAGUACCUUUCGUAGGCGAUUUGGGCAGAAGUCCUCAUGCUGAGGUUUGAAAUGGAGAGGGAAUUAAUCUUGGGUAGCUUCUUGCAAAGGAGCCCAUACUGUUAUAAUUUAUUCCACACAGGAUCUAAAAGAGUGGUUUCCUACAGGGUGUGCCUUUUGCAAACCGUUUUCAUUUUCAUUUGAGUCCCUUUAUGCCAUAUUAUAGAACACUAAUGGUAACAUUAAUGAUUCUUUAUAGAAGCGUAAUUUGUAUACUUCCGGUUGAUUGUGGCCCUGGGGGUAUGAUCCAGUGUUGCUUUUGUUUGAAAAUUUAUUUCCUCAUUCCUGGUGGCUAUUUUAAUUCUUUGAACCAGUUUUAAAUCUUACUGCUUCCCAGAGUUAAAAUUUUUAACAUGUUUUUAUGUGGGUUAAUGAUUUUCCAUCUUUACUGGCACAUUACUGUACCUGCCCCUACACUUUUCUAGGGUUAUUUUGCCCCCCCCCCCCCCCAUGUCUUAUGUAUUAAACACUGCAUUACAACACUGUGCGUCUCGGUUAGGUGGAUUUUUGUCUGUCCAUAAUGUUUCAUUUAAUGCUUUGGCAUCUUGUCAGGCACUUGUAUGUUGAAUGAGUUUUGGGGGAAGGAUACAAUCCUUGAGCUCCUGGGUGGUGGUGGUGUGGGAAGGGAUGGCAUGCCUGUAAUUCCAGGGACUUUAGCAGGCCGAAGCAGGAGGAUUACAAGUUUAAGACCAGUCUCAGCAAGUCCUUAUCUCAAAAAAUAAAGGGCUGGGGAUGUUGUCAGUGGUAAAGCCUCCCAGGGUUUAAUCCCCAGUACCAAAAUUUAAUAAAGUGAUGGAGGGAGAUGUCUUCCUUAGUCUUUGGUUGCCUGGAUCUCUUCUCUAACAUUUCCCUUCUCGUUAUUGCAGCUGUCUCUGGUGGUGUUGGAGCAUUUAUGAUGGGACAUGGCUAAACUUCAGUCAUGUACCUGAAGCCAUUUCUUCCACUCCAGAAAUGAUACAGAUGAGGCAACCCUCUAGUAAGGCAUUGUAAAAAUAUUUGAAUUUGGUUUGUUUAAUAAAAGGUUAAAUAAAGUAUCUAAGAGUAAAAUUUAAUGUUG